GACGAACGCUGGCGGCGUGCUUAACACAUGCAAGUCGAACGGAAAGGCCCUGCUUUUGUGGGGUGCUCGAGUGGCGAACGGGUGAGUAACACGUGAGUAACCUGCCCUUGACUUUGGGAUAACUUCAGGAAACUGGGGCUAAUACCGGAUAGGAGCUCCUGCUGCAUGGUGGGGGUUGGAAAGUUUCGGCGGUUGGGGAUGGACUCGCGGCUUAUCAGCUUGUUGGUGGGGUAGUGGCUUACCAAGGCUUUGACGGGUAGCCGGCCUGAGAGGGUGACCGGCCACAUUGGGACUGAGAUACGGCCCAGACUCCUACGGGAGGCAGCAGUGGGGAAUAUUGCACAAUGGGCGGAAGCCUGAUGCAGCAACGCCGCGUGCGGGAUGACGGCCUUCGGGUUGUAACCCGCUUUCGCCUGUGACGAAGCGUGAGUGACGGUAAUGGGUAAAGAGGCACCGGCUAACUACGUG
This 468-nucleotide ribosomal RNA is filed under the name uncultured bacterium. RNAcentral's name for it is "partial 16S ribosomal RNA". It matches the Rfam family "Bacterial small subunit ribosomal RNA", at positions 28 to 507 of the family's 1533-position model. The record is from RNAcentral.